RNAcentral lists this unclassified non-coding RNA (318 nucleotides) under Hevea brasiliensis (rubber tree). The record is from RNAcentral. Lineage: Eukaryota; Viridiplantae; Streptophyta; Magnoliopsida; Malpighiales; Euphorbiaceae.
UUUUAUCCCAAUCUUGGAUGGUCUGAAUUGAGGCACAAAUGUAUGGUGUAUUGACAAACUGAAUAGGGUCAAAACAGAAAGAGGUAAGAUUUGAAGGCAAAGACAAAGAAUUGAGCUUGGAUUGGAAUUCUUGGAUGCAAGAAGCAGAAGUUUCCAAAUUGGGUAGCUGGAAAAGAGAAGUUUCUUUAAGGUGUUGUGCCAUAGCAACACCAAAGAGGGACAAAAGGUUCUGGCAGCACUGGCCUUUGCUUGAUGUGGGAAUAGCAGAACCAUUGGAAAGCUGAGGAGUUGAAUUCAGAACUUUGCAGUUAGAACUAG